This 604-nucleotide ribosomal RNA is filed under the name Escherichia coli. Its description in RNAcentral is "bacterial SSU rRNA". It matches the Rfam family "Bacterial small subunit ribosomal RNA", at positions 1 to 594 of the family's 1533-position model. Lineage: Bacteria; Pseudomonadati; Pseudomonadota; Gammaproteobacteria; Enterobacterales; Enterobacteriaceae. The record is from RNAcentral. RNAcentral also lists the same sequence under 1 other name.
AAAUUGAAGAGUUUGAUCAUGGCUCAGAUUGAACGCUGGCGGCAGGCCUAACACAUGCAAGUCGAACGGUAACAGGAAACAGCUUGCUGUUUCGCUGACGAGUGGCGGACGGGUGAGUAAUGUCUGGGAAACUGCCCGAUGGAGGGGGAUAACUACUGGAAACGGUAGCUAAUACCGCAUAACGUCGCAAGACCAAAGAGGGGGACCUUCGGGCCUCUUGCUAUCGGAUGUGCCCAGAUGGGAUUAGCUAGUAGGUGGGGUAACGGCUCACCUAGGCGACGAUCCCUAGCUGGUCUGAGAGGAUGACCAGCCACACUGGAACUGAGACACGGUCCAGACUCCUACGGGAGGCAGCAGUGGGGAAUAUUGCACAAUGGGCGCAAGCCUGAUGCAGCCAUGCCGCGUGUAUGAAGAAGGCCUUCGGGUUGUAAAGUACUUUCAGCGGGGAGGAAGGGAGUAAAGUUAAUACCUUUACUCAUUGACGUUACCCGCAGAAGAAGCACCGGCUAACUCCGUGCCAGCAGCCGCGGUAAUACGGAGGGUGCAAGCGUUAAUCGGAAUUACUGGGCGUAAAGCGCACGCAGGCGGUUUGUUAAGUCAGAUG